Molecule: long non-coding RNA, 634 nt
Filed under: Rhinopithecus bieti (black snub-nosed monkey)
Lineage: Eukaryota; Metazoa; Chordata; Mammalia; Primates; Cercopithecidae
Description: lncRNA (ENSRBIG00000045812.1)
Source: RNAcentral
GUCAGUAGUAUCUUAUAGGUGUAUCUUAAUUUAGAUUUCCAUGUGUUAAGUCACAUUAUUUUAAAUUUCAGGGCACAGAUGUGGACUUUGCAGCCUUGAAGGCAGUGGUGAGGCUUGCUGAACCAUACCUCCGUGACUCUCAAGUGAGCACUUUUACCAUGGAGUGCAUGAAGGAGCUCCUCGAUCUGAAGGAACAUCGGUUGCCCCUGCAGGAGCUCUGGGUGGUGUUUGAUGAUUCGGGAGUGUUUAACCAGACAGCCCUUGCAAUUAAGCAUGUCAGGUAUGUGUUUGGUUAUCAGAAGAAUUCUAAUAUCCAAGCAAAGGGUGUCCGUCCCAGCGGUCAGAAGGUCACUCACGUGAUCUCCUCCACUAUGAUGGCUGGUCUCCUGCGGUCCCUGCUCAUGGACGGGCUUUGCCAGGAGCCCGGUGAGGAAGGAAGAGAAAUUCAGUUCCGUAGUGAUCCACUGUCUACUAUAAAUGCCUGCUUCGAAGGUGACACUGUUAUUGUUUGUCCUGGCCAUUAUGUGGUACAUGGCACUUUCUCCAUUGCUGACUCCAUUGAGUUGGAAGGUGAGUGUGGAAGACACACAGCCAAACUCUCACACCUGAAAUGUUCAAGUAAACAAUAAAUCAC